This 275-nucleotide ribosomal RNA is filed under the name uncultured bacterium. RNAcentral's name for it is "partial 16S ribosomal RNA". It matches the Rfam family "Bacterial small subunit ribosomal RNA", at positions 523 to 796 of the family's 1533-position model. The record is from RNAcentral.
AUACGUUGGGGGCAAGCGUUGUCCGGAAUUACUGGGCGUAAAGAGCUCGUAGGCGGCUCAGCAAGUCGGUCGUGAAAGCCCGAGGCUCAACCUCGGAACUGCGGUCGAUACUGCUGUGGCUAGAGUCCGGUAGAGGAGAGUGGAAUUCCCGGUGUAGCGGUGGAAUGCGCAGAUAUCGGGAGGAACACCAGUGGCGAAGGCGGCUCUCUGGGCCGGUACUGACGCUGAGGAGCGAAAGCGUGGGGAGCAAACAGGAUUAGAAACCCCAGUAGUCC